This 82-nucleotide non-coding RNA is filed under the name Sunxiuqinia elliptica. Lineage: Bacteria; Pseudomonadati; Bacteroidota; Bacteroidia; Marinilabiliales; Prolixibacteraceae. The record is from RNAcentral.
AACCGCCGUAUACGAGACCCGUACGUACGGUGGUGUGAGAGGCGCUCCGGUGGGCAAUUGGCUCACUGGCCGUCCACUCGAU